GGGCCCUUAGCUCAGCCGGUUAGAGCGGCGGACUCAUAAUCCGUUGGUCGCUGGUUCGAAUCCAGCAGGGCCCA
RNAcentral lists this transfer RNA (74 nucleotides) under Gemmatimonadota bacterium. Its description in RNAcentral is "tRNA-Ile". It matches the Rfam family "tRNA". Rfam says of the family: Transfer RNA (tRNA) molecules are approximately 80 nucleotides in length. Their secondary structure includes four short double-helical elements and three loops (D, anti-codon, and T loops). Further hydrogen bonds mediate the characteristic L-shaped molecular structure. tRNAs have two regions of fundamental functional importance: the anti-codon, which is responsible for specific mRNA codon recognition, and the 3' end, to which the tRNAs corresponding amino acid is attached (by aminoacyl-tRNA synthetases). tRNAs cope with the degeneracy of the genetic code in two manners: having more than one tRNA (with a specific anti-codon) for a particular amino acid; and 'wobble' base-pairing, i.e. permitting non-standard base-pairing at the 3rd anti-codon position. Lineage: Bacteria; Pseudomonadati; Gemmatimonadota. The record is from RNAcentral.